Haplochromis burtoni (Burton's mouthbrooder) is the source of this 648-nucleotide long non-coding RNA. RefSeq lists it as uncharacterized. Lineage: Eukaryota; Metazoa; Chordata; Actinopteri; Cichliformes; Cichlidae. The record is from RefSeq and is a predicted model, not a curated record. The transcript has 3 exons.
GUAAAGCGCUAUAUAAAUACAGUCCAUUUACAAUUUGCUUUCACCUGCCACUGCAGGGUUUACUUUACAACAUAAAGCACCUUGAGGUGACAGUUGCUGUGAUUUUGCUGUAUAAAUAAAAUUGAAUUGAAUUAAAAAUUGAACCUGCUUCAAAUUUCCGUGCAUCGUGCAUAACUGCAGUCAAAGAAGCACAUGGACCAACGAGUCUGACCUGAUUCUUUGGUAGGGCCCUGAUGAGUGUUAACAGGCGGAGCUCAACAUAAAUUUCAGAUAAUUAAAGUCUAAGAUGAUCUGAAACAGCUGCAGUUAACCAUGGCUCUGCAACAGUUUGUGUGCUGCGUCACUGUGCUGAUCAUUUUCUUCUGCAAAGGUUGUCAUUUGGAUCAGCCCGCAUGUGGCAGCAGGGCUGUGAACAGCAGCAGCAUCACAGGAGCUCAUGAUGCAGCACCAGGAAGUUGGCCCUGGUUCGCUGAUAUAAACAUUUUUUUGAAGGGUUUGUGUACCCCAAUUUAGUUUUUGGAGGGUCUCUGAUCAACGACCAGUGGGUGUUGACGGCUGCAUAUGUGCCAAGUAGUGAUGUGCGGAUCGAUCCUGAAAUAUCGAUUCCUCCAAUACCAGUCAUUUAUAUCGAUAUUUUAGUAUUUUAGG